GACGAACCGUGCGAACGUUGUUCGGAAUCACUGGGCUUAAAGGGCGCGUAGGCGGCUUCGCAAGUCCGGGGUGAAAGCCCCCAGCUUAACUGGGGAAGUGCCUCGGAUACUGCGGAGCUCGAGGGAGGUAGGGGCGGAUGGAACUUCCGGUGGAGCGGUGAAAUGCGUUGAUAUCGGAAGGAACGCCGGUGGCGAAAGCGAUCCGCUGGCCCUCUACUGACGCUGAGGCGCGAAAGCCAGGGGAGCAAACGGG
Molecule: ribosomal RNA, 253 nt
Filed under: uncultured bacterium
Lineage: Bacteria
Description: partial 16S ribosomal RNA
Rfam family: Bacterial small subunit ribosomal RNA
Source: RNAcentral